UGCCCCAUGGCUGAGUUGGUUACAGCGUCCGACUGUUACUAACAGAUUCAUCGGAAGGUCGUGAGUUCGAGCCUCACUGGGGCAG
Peniophora sp. CONT is the source of this 85-nucleotide non-coding RNA. The record is from Rfam. NCBI's taxonomy places the organism in Eukaryota, Fungi, Basidiomycota, Agaricomycetes, Russulales, Peniophoraceae.